UUUCCAUGUAUGGUGGUUAGGAUGGUUUCUGGAUGACACUGUUCCACCUCGAUUGUCAGGCAUUGGAUUCUCCAAAGGAGCUGGCAGCCUAGAUCCCUCGCAUGUGCGGUUCACAUUAUAAGUUUGUGCUCCUAUGAGAAUUCAGUGCCAGCAGUCACCUGACAGGAGACGGAGCUUAGGCAGUUCACCUGCUGGGCAACCAGAUUCAUAUCAGGCCAUGGAGCAGGACCCGUCCAUGGCCUGGGAGUUGGGGAUCCCUGUUCUAAAUGACUCCUCCUCUAAGGUAUUUCCAUGACAUUACUUCUUGAACUAAAGAAUUGAGGUUAUGGUGUGUGUAGGAAGUAGGACGAUCAUAAAAUGUCACAAUGAAGAAUGAGCUACCUUGGUUUUGAUAAUAAUGGUUUUUUUCCCUGAGUACUUUAUUGGAUUAUAUUAAAAUGACAGAAUCAUAAAUAUUAAAGUUGGAAAUUAUUUUAGUGAUCAAGUCUUUCCUGAAUGCUUUCUUUUUUGGACAGUCUUCAGUACUAGAGAGAAUUUAUCCUUAAAGUUGAAAUCUUCUUUCUAGAAACUAUCUGUUGUGGUCCUUAGGUUUUACCUCAAAGUAAGACUAACCCUUUAGUAGCCAAAGAACUCUUCAGUAUUUCUAAAGUGCUGUUUUUGAGUGUCCCUUGCCUAGAGAGAGAUUUGCAUUCAUUGAGCUGGUUCUCAUCACAGAGUUUUAAACUUUGUUUGUAAUUGCCCUUUUUUGUGGAUUCUUAUAUUGAUUGAUUUUUGUGCUUCUCUCAUUUCUUAGUUGGGCACUGUUACUGGUAAAUUUUCUCUUGGGUCAUUGUAAAGAACUGAGGAUAACAUUUCAGUGGUGUUGAAAGGGUGAAAUAAUUAUUUUACUUGGAGCACUGUGCUUCUAUUGAUACUACAUAAAAUUGCAUUGGCUGUUUGGCAAGCAUGUCAAGCCUGGUGUACUGUUUGGUUUCAUUGUCCUUAAUUCAUUCUUUUUGGAAUUAAGACAGUUUGCUUUCUUUUCUUUUCUUUUCUUUUUUUUUUUUGAGACAGAGUUUCACUAUUAUUGCCCAAGCUGGAGUGUAGUGACACAGU
Long non-coding RNA from Cebus imitator (Panamanian white-faced capuchin), 1095 nucleotides. RefSeq lists it as uncharacterized. The transcript has 3 exons. The record is from RefSeq and is a predicted model, not a curated record. Lineage: Eukaryota; Metazoa; Chordata; Mammalia; Primates; Cebidae.